Molecule: ribosomal RNA, 465 nt
Filed under: uncultured bacterium
Lineage: Bacteria
Description: partial 16S ribosomal RNA
Rfam family: Bacterial small subunit ribosomal RNA
Source: RNAcentral
GACGAACGCUGGCGGCGUGCUUAACACAUGCCAGUCGAACGGAAAGGCCCUGCUUGCAGGGUACUCGAGUGGCGAACGGGUGAGUAACACGUGGGUGAUCUGCCCUGCACUUCGGGAUAAGCCUGGGAAACUGGGUCUAAUACCGGAUAUGACCUUCCAUGUAGUGUGGGGGGUGGAAAGAUUUAUCGGUGUGGGAUGAGCCCGCGGCCUAUCAGCUUGUUGGUGGGGUAAUGGCCUACCAAGGCGUCGACGGGUAGCCGGCCUGAGAGGGUGGACGGCCACAUUGGGACUGAGAUACGGCCCAGACUCCUACGGGAGGCAGCAGUGGGGAAUAUUGCACAAUGGGCGGAAGCCUGAUGCAGCGACGCCGCGUGGGGGAUGACGGCCUUCGGGUUGUAAACCUCUUUCGACAGGGACGAAGCUUCGGUGACGGUACCUGUAUAAGAAGCACCGGCUAACUACGUG